GAGUUUGAUCCUGGCUCAGGACGAACGCUGGCGGCGUGCCUAAUACAUGCAAGUCGAGCGAACCAAUAGGAGCUUGCUCCUGUUGGUUAGCGGCGGAUGGGUGAGUAACACGUGGGCAACCUGCCUGUAAGACUGGGAUAACACCGGGAAACCGGUGCUAAUACCGGAUAAUCCUUUUCCUCUCAUGAGGAAAAGCUGAAAGUCGGUUUCGGCUGACACUUACAGAUGGGCCCGCGGCGCAUUAGCUAGUUGGUGAGGUAACGGCUCACCAAGGCAACGAUGCGUAGCCGACCUGAGAGGGUGAUCGGCCACACUGGGACUGAGACACGGCCCAGACUCCUACGGGAGGCAGCAGUAGGGAAUCUUCCACAAUGGACGAAAGUCUGAUGGAGCAACGCCGCGUGAGCGAUGAAGGCCUUCGGGUCGUAAAGCUCUGUUGUUAGGGAAGAACAAGUACCGGAGUAACUGCCGGUACCUUGACGGUACCUAACCAGAAAGCCACGGCUAACUACGUGCCAGCAGCCGCGGUAAUACGUAGGUGGCAAGCGUUGUCCGGAAUUAUUGGGCGUAAAGCGCGCGCAGGCGGUCCUUUAAGUCUGAUGUGAAAGCCCACGGCUCAACCGUGGAGGGUCAUUGGAAACUGGGGGACUUGAGUGCAGAAGAGGAAAGCGGAAUUCCACGUGUAGCGGUGAAAUGCGUAGAGAUGUGGAGGAA
RNAcentral lists this ribosomal RNA (714 nucleotides) under uncultured Bacillus sp. Its description in RNAcentral is "bacterial SSU rRNA". It matches the Rfam family "Bacterial small subunit ribosomal RNA", at positions 9 to 706 of the family's 1533-position model. The record is from RNAcentral. Lineage: Bacteria; Bacillati; Bacillota; Bacilli; Caryophanales; Bacillaceae.